CAUGAAGCUGGAAUCGCUAGUAAUCGCGAAUCAGAAUGUCGCGGUGAAUACGUUCCCGGGUCUUGUACACACCGCCCGUCACACCAUGGGAGUCGGAAAUGCCCAAAGUCAGUGACCUAACCGAAAGGGAGGAGCUGCCGAAGGUGGAGCCGGUAACUGGGGCUAAGUCGUAACAAGGUAUC
Molecule: ribosomal RNA, 182 nt
Filed under: uncultured bacterium
Lineage: Bacteria
Description: partial 16S ribosomal RNA
Rfam family: Bacterial small subunit ribosomal RNA
Source: RNAcentral